GACGAACGCUGGCGGCGUGCUUAACACAUGCAAGUCGAGCGGAAAGGCCCUUCGGGGUACUCGAGCGGCGAACGGGUGAGUAACACGUGAGUAACCUGCCCCAGACUUUGGGAUAACCCUCGGAAACGGGGGCUAAUACCGGAUACGACACAGCUUCGCAUGGGGUCUGUGUGGAAAGUUUUUCGGUUUGGGAUGGGCUCGCGGCCUAUCAGCUUGUUGGUGGGGUGAUGGCCUACCAAGGCGACGACGGGUAGCCGGCCUGAGAGGGCGACCGGCCACACUGGUACUGAGACACGGCCCGGACUCCUACGGGAGGCAGCAGUGGGGAAUAUUGCACAAUGGGCGGAAGCCUGAUGCAGCGACGCCGCGUGAGGGAUGACGGCCUUCGGGUUGUAAACCUCUUUCAGCAGGGACGAAGCGUAAGUGACGGUACCUGCAGAAGAAGCGCCGGCCAACUACGUG
This 462-nucleotide ribosomal RNA is filed under the name uncultured bacterium. RNAcentral's name for it is "partial 16S ribosomal RNA". It matches the Rfam family "Bacterial small subunit ribosomal RNA", at positions 28 to 507 of the family's 1533-position model. The record is from RNAcentral.